AAUCUAAUUGCUGCUCUCCAAUUUCUGAUUGUGCUUGGUUGUCUCCAGAAGAAAAACUGAUCUGAUCGGUGCUGCUGUUUUUUGUGAGUAUUUUAAAGCAGAUCUAAAAUACAAAUUUCCUUAGCUUGUGGAAGAAGCAGCACUAAAUGGAGAAGACAACAUUCAAAUCACCUUGGAGUAUGUAAUAACUAAUACCAGCUGCAGUACAGAGAUUUAAUUGAUAACAGCAUCUAAUGGCCAAUGCUGGAAGUAUGUCACUAUGCUAUUAACACAUGGAAGAAAAAGUGAGAGGGAUAUUGAAAGGACGACAAGAAAAAAAGGCAAAAGAAAGGUGAAAAGGUGAUGGCACUCAGAAGAGGAGAUGCCCCUGUUGAUUGUAAACAGCAAUAACAAUUAGCCCAUUACCUGCGGGUGCCCCUGCCAUUACUGUUAAAGCUGCCAUCGAUUUGGUACCGAUGUAAUGACUUUUUA
Molecule: long non-coding RNA, 471 nt
Organism: Gavialis gangeticus (Gharial)
Lineage: Eukaryota; Metazoa; Chordata; Crocodylia; Gavialidae
Exons: 3
Source: RefSeq, a predicted model, not a curated record